UACGGGGGGGGCAAGCGUUGUUCGGAAUUACUGGGCGUAAAGGGCUCGUAGGCGGCCAACUAAGUCGGACGUGAAAUCCCUCGGCUUAACUGGGGAACUGCGUCCGAUACUGGAUGGCUUGAGUUUGGGAGAGGGAUGCGGAAUUCCAGGUGUAGCGGUGAAAUGCGUAGAUAUCUGGAGGAACACCGGUGGCGAAGGCGGCAUCCUGGACCAAUACUGACGCUGAGGAGCGAAAGCCAGGGGAGCAAACGGG
RNAcentral lists this ribosomal RNA (253 nucleotides) under uncultured bacterium. Its description in RNAcentral is "partial 16S ribosomal RNA". It matches the Rfam family "Bacterial small subunit ribosomal RNA", at positions 524 to 776 of the family's 1533-position model. The record is from RNAcentral.